GCCGUCAAUUCCUUUGAGUUUUAACCUUGCGGCCGUACUCCCCAGGCGGUCGACUUAUCGCGUUAGCUGCGCCACUAAGAUCUCAAGGAUCCCAACGGCUAGUCGACAUCGUUUACGGCGUGGACUACCAGGGUAUCUAAUCCUGUUUGCUCCCCACGCUUUCGCACCUCAGUGUCAGUAUCAGUCCAGGUGGUCGCCUUCGCCACUGGUGUUCCUUCCUAUAUCUACGCAUUUCACCGCUACACAGGAAAUUCCACCACCCUCUACCGUACUCUAGCUCAGUAGUUUUGGAUGCAGUUCCCAGGUUGAGCCCGGGGAUUUCACAUCCAACUUGCUGAACCACCUACGCGCGCUUUACGCCCAGUAAUUCCGAUUAACGCUUGCACCCUUCGUAUUACCGCGGCUGCUGGCACGAAGUUAGCCGGUGCUUAUUCUGUUGGUAACGUCAAAACAGCAAGGUAUUAACUUACUGCCCUUCCUCCCAACUUAAAGUGCUUUACAAUCCGAAGACCUUCUUCACACACGCGGCAUGGCUGGAUCAGGCUUUCGCCCAUUGUCCAAUAUUCCCCACUGCUGCCUCCCGUAGGAGUCUGGACCGCGUCUCAGUUCCAGUGUGACUGAUCAUCCUCUCAGACCAGUUACGGAUCGUCGCCUUGGUAGGCCUUUACCCCACCAACUAGCUAAUCCGACCUAGGCUCAUCUGAUAGCGUGAGGUCCGAAGAUCCCCCACUUUCUCCCUCAGGACGUAUGCGGUAUUAGCGCCCGUUUCCGGACGUUAUCCCCCACUACCAGGCAGAUUCCUAGGCAUUACUCACCCGUCCGCCGCUGAAUCCAGGAGCAAGCUCCCUUCAUCCGCUCGACUUGCAUGUGUUAGGCCUGCCGCCAGCGUUCAAUCUGAGCCAGGAUCAAACCCUC
RNAcentral lists this ribosomal RNA (915 nucleotides) under uncultured bacterium. RNAcentral's name for it is "partial 16S ribosomal RNA". The record is from RNAcentral.